This 457-nucleotide unclassified non-coding RNA is filed under the name Lendenfeldia chondrodes. RNAcentral's name for it is "Fasciospongia chondrodes sequence contains 28S rRNA gene". The record is from RNAcentral. Lineage: Eukaryota; Metazoa; Porifera; Demospongiae; Dictyoceratida; Thorectidae.
AGAGAGAGUCAAACAGUACGUGAAACCGUCAGGGGGGAAACGAACGAGGUUGGUGCAGUGCUCGUGCAGGUUCAAGCCCGGCCGAGGGCGCCGACGCGGCGGCGGAGAUCGUCCCGCGCCGGCCGCCCGAGGCCGUGCCGUACUCCUCGCGAGCGCGGACCAGCGGCGGUUAGACCGGAGCGACAAGGCGACAGCGGAAGGUGAGUCGAUGCGGGCCCGUCCCGCAUGGACAGCUUACAGCCCUGGCGUACGAUGCUCCGGUGCGACCGAGGAACAUGGGCAGCCCUUGCCCGCCGUGGCGCACGCCGUAUGGCGGGGCCCCCCGACGCGAGUGAACCGUGCGGUGUGGACUGCGUGCAGUGCUAACCGUGGCGGGGAUCUCGCGCCGGUGGGUGCCACUUGUGCGCCAUCGCCGCUGGUAGUCGGAUGGCCUCGUCCGACCCGUCUUGAAACACGG